CCUACGGGGGGCAGCAGUGAGGAAUAUUGGUCAAUGGCCGGAAGGCUGAACCAGCCAAGCCGCGUGAGGGAGGAAGGCGCAGAGCGUCGCAGACCUCUUUUGCCGGGGGACAAAAGGCCGGACGGGUCCGGUUCUGAGGGUACCCGGAGAAAAAGCAUCGGCUAACUCCGUGCCAGCAGCCGCGGUAAUACGGAGGAUGCGAGCGUUAUCCGGAUUUAUUGGGUUGAAAGGGUGCGCAGGCGGAUUUUUAAGUCAGCGGUCAAAUCGUGGGGCUCAACCCCAUCCAGCCGGUGAAACUGGGGAUUUAGAGUGUGCGAGAGGUAUGCGGAAUGCGUGGUGUAGCAGUGAAAUGCGUAGAUAUCGAGAGGAACACUCGUGGCGAAGGCGGGUUCCUGGACAUUAACUGACGCUGAGGCACGAAGGCCAGGGGAGCGAAAGGGAUUAGAUACCCGAGUAGUC
RNAcentral lists this ribosomal RNA (459 nucleotides) under uncultured bacterium. RNAcentral's name for it is "partial 16S ribosomal RNA". It matches the Rfam family "Bacterial small subunit ribosomal RNA", at positions 338 to 795 of the family's 1533-position model. The record is from RNAcentral.